GCACCUGUUAAAUCUGUUUAGCAACUCUGAAGUGUUGUGUUAAUAUUAGAACAUGCUGAGAAUCAGAACAAAUAGAUUGCAUAUUACCCCAUCUCUUGUUUCAUACGUACAGAGCUUGCGAAGGAUGAGUUGCAGCAGCGAGGGUAGUCGGUGCUGGGAUGUUACUGCCUUAAUGGAUACAUGUCCCUGGUGAACCGAUGCUAACAAGAAGAAGGCAAUGCAGAAAGGUCAUCAGCGUACCUUGACCAUUCUCUCAAGAGUUAAGAAUUCUUCUGUGCAAGGAUGGCUUAGCUGAUCAAGGAAGUGUCAAGGUAAUGCUGCUAUGUGGUUCUGACCUGCUCGAUUCAUUCAGCAAGCCAGGGGUUUGGAUUCCAGAUCAGUCAAAGGAAGAAGUCGAACCUGAAGAAGUCCUCGGAAGAAUCACAGCUGCGUGUGCCCGGCUGGUUCAGGGGACGCGACAGGUGCUGGCGCCCUGCCCCGGCGGGCGUGUGCGCGGCGGCGUGGGUGCCAGUGCAGGGCGGGCACGGCGGUGCGGGUGCCGGGGCAGGCUCUCUCCUGGGCACUGGCGAUCUCGCAGGACGGAUGCCACGCUACGAGCGGCAACAAUCGGCGAUGGCGAUCGUGCACGGAGGUGACGGGACGGUGCAGUGCAGCGUGGUCGCUGCGCAGG
Triticum dicoccoides is the source of this 670-nucleotide long non-coding RNA. RefSeq lists it as uncharacterized. The record is from RefSeq and is a predicted model, not a curated record. Lineage: Eukaryota; Viridiplantae; Streptophyta; Magnoliopsida; Poales; Poaceae. The transcript has 4 exons.